GCUGGCGGCAUGCCUCAUACAUGCAAGUCGAACGAAAUCCUCGGAUUUAGUGGCGCACGGGUGAGUAACAUGUGGGAAUCUACCUGAAGGUUCGGAAUAACUGCGGGAAACUGUAGCUAAUACCGGAUGUGUCUGCAAAGAGAAAGAUUUAUCGCCUUCAGAUGAGCCCGCACUAGAUUAGCUAGUUGGUGAGGUAAUUGCUCCACCAAGGCUACGAUCUAUAGCUGAUUUGAGAGGAUGAUCAGCCACACUGGGACUGAGACACGGCCCAGACUCCUACGGGAGGCAGCAGUAGGGAAUAUUGGACAAUGGGGGAAACCCUGAUCCAGCAAUGCCGCGUGAGUGAAGAAGGCCCUCGGGUUGUAAAACUCUUUCAUCAAUGAUGAUAAUGACAUUAGUUGAAGAAGAAGCUCCGGCUAACUUCGUGCCAGCAGCCGCGGUAAUACGAAGGGGGCUAGCGUUGUUCGGAAUCACUGGGCGUAAAGCGUAUGUAGGCGGAUCAAAAAGUUAGAUGUGAAAUCCCUGGGCUCAACCCAGGAACUGCAUUUAAAACUAGUGAUCUAGAAUUUGGUAAGGGUUAGUAGAAUUUCCAGUGUAGAGGUGAAAUUCGUAGAUAUUGGAAAGAAUACCAGAAGCGAAGGCGACUAACUAGGCCAUUUUUGACGCUGAGAUACGAAAGCGUGGGUAGCAAACAGGAUUAGAUACCCUGGUAGUCCACGCAGUAAACGAUGAGUGCUAGUCGCUGGUGCAAUAGCAUCAGUGUCGAAGCUAACGCAUUAAGCACUCCGCCU
RNAcentral lists this ribosomal RNA (791 nucleotides) under uncultured Alphaproteobacteria bacterium. RNAcentral describes it as "bacterial SSU rRNA". It matches the Rfam family "Bacterial small subunit ribosomal RNA", at positions 35 to 874 of the family's 1533-position model. The record is from RNAcentral. Lineage: Bacteria; Pseudomonadati; Pseudomonadota; Alphaproteobacteria.